GAUGAACGCUGGCGGCGUGCCUAAUACAUGCAAGUCGAGCGAACGGACGAGAAGCUUGCUUUUCUGAUGUUAGCGGCGGACGGGUGAGUAACACGUGGAUAACCUACCUAUAAGACUGGGAUAACUUCGGGAAACCGGAGCUAAUACCGGAUAAUAUUUUGAACCGCAUGGUUCAAAAGUGAAAGACGGUCUUGCUGUCACUUAUAGAUGGAUCCGCGCUGCAUUAGCUAGUUGGUAAGGUAACGGCUUACCAAGGCAACGAUGCAUAGCCGACCUGAGAGGGUGAUCGGCCACACUGGAACUGAGACACGGUCCAGACUCCUACGGGAGGCGGCAGUAGGGAAUCUUCCGCAAUGGGCGAAAGCCUGACGGAGCAACGCCGCGUGAGUGAUGAAGGUCUUCGGAUCGUAAAACUCUGUUAUUAGGGAAGAACAUAUGUGUAAGUAACUGUGCACAUCUUGACGGUACCUAAUUAGAAAGCCACGGCUAACUACGUG
Molecule: ribosomal RNA, 497 nt
Filed under: uncultured bacterium
Lineage: Bacteria
Description: partial 16S ribosomal RNA
Rfam family: Bacterial small subunit ribosomal RNA
Source: RNAcentral